UUAAAUGGCAGCUCAGCUACUCAGAUGCCAACCCCAAUUUGCCAUGAAAUCAAAUGAACGACACCUGUUGUAGAGAGAGAAAGAGAGAGUGGCCUCUAAUUUCCCGCUCUGUUGCCCUGUUUUUUUGGAUUCCUAGAGAGAGAAUGGAUUCCUAGACAGAGAAUUCAUUCUCAAAAACAGUCACUCAACGAGAGAGAGAAGAGAAUGAGACGAAGCAUACUUCCAUACAGAGAGAGAAAGAGAGAGAGAAGAGAAAGAGACGAAGCAUACUUUCAUAUAGAUAGAGAAAGAGAGAGAGCUUUAUAGCUUGGAUCCAUCCGUUUUCUUGGCGGUUUUUGCAUUUAUUUUGACAACGCGCCAUGCGUGGUGUUUUCAAGCGACUUAAGCUCUGAUUGGACAUGGCUGGAGUAUGCUUCUCUUCAAGGUUUGGUCCAACACAUCACUGAGAUGAGCGAAUAAAGAAAGUAGUACUUUCAUUGUUCUGAAUUUCUUGAUAUUGAGCACUUGAUCAAAGAUAGAGUUGACAGCUGAAACAAAGCUAAAAGAUGAGUGAAUCUGAAAGGGAGCUGGAAGAAAACUUCGAAGGCAGGCAUGAGAAGAACUCCCAGCACUCCUCUGGCAGAAAGAGCAAUGGCAGCUCAUCUGGCUCUAGUUCUUCAGAUUCAGACUCGGGGACCAAACCUUACAAGGAAAUUAAUCGCAAAUUGGAACAGGAGAAGAAAGCCCUCAACGAGGAGAUAAAGAAAUUAAUGGAUAAAAUUUCUUCAAUGACAGAGGAAGAAGAGAAAAUGAAAGAAGAUGUACAAAUGAAAGAGGUCCGAAUUCGUGAACUAGAAGAACAGAAUGCGGGUCUUGUCUCAGAGCACAGAAAGGAAAAGCAGAAGAUGGAGGGAAGUUUCAGUGAAGAUUUGGGCUCCAAAGAUAAUCAAAUCCAGAAACUGGAAGACCAACUUGUGGGCCUUCGUGAAUCUCUCUCUAACCACGAGGAUGCACAGAAGAUCAUGGCGAAGAAAGAAGAAAAAUGGGUUGAAGAUUUAGAGUCCAAAGGGAAACGGGUCAUGGAUCUAGAAGACCAGCUUGCAAGGGCCCUCUCAAAUCAUGAACUUGAAAAGUCAAAGAUGAGUACGGAGAGAGAAGAGUUGAUGAAAGAUUAUAAAUCUAAGGGGAGCAGGAUACUGGAACUGGAAGUCAAGGUUGCUGGCCUCCAUCAGACAAUCUCGAGGCAUGAAAGCGAAGAAGUGAAGAGGACAGAAGAAGAAAAGAAAAUAAGAGAAGAAUUAUUCUCGAUGGGGAACCAGAUCCUAGAAUUUAGAGACCGACUUGUUGCCCAGACAGAGACUCUUGAAACGUACAAACAACAAGAACUGAAGAUGGUUGAGUACCAGUGGAAACUGAGACAAGAUCUGGAGUCAAAGGGGAACCGGAUCCUUGAAUUGGAAGACAAGCUUGCUGGUUUAUAUGAAACUCUCUCAAAGCAUGAAUCUGAAGGACUGAGGAUGACUGAGGAGAGACAGAUAAUGAAAGAAGAGCUAGAGUUAAAAGGAUGCCGGAUCCUUGAAUUAGAGGAGCAGCUUGCAGAUCUUAAUGAAGCCCUUGCAAAGCAUGAAACUGAAGGGCUGAAGAUGAGUGAGGAGAGAGAGAGAAUGAAAGAAGAACUACAGUUGAAAGGGAGCUGGAGCCUUGAAUUAGAAGACAAGCUUGCCAGCCUAAAUGAAGCAAAUGCAAAUCAUGAAAGCGAAAAAUUGAGGGUUACAAAGGAGAGAGAUAAAAUAAGAGAAGACCUUGAAUUGAAUCAGAGCCGGAUACUAGAACUAGGAGACAAACUCACAAGUCUAAACGAAACCCUCUCAAAUCACAAGAAAGAGCAGCUCGAGAUGGCAAGGAAAUUUAAAGCAGAUUUGGAAUCGAUGGACAUGCAGAAUGUGAUACUGAGAAAUGAAAUAGCAACAUUGAUUAUGAAGCAUAAGAAGGAAGGAGAAGAGGUUGCAAAGAGGAUAAAGAUAAUGGAGUAUGAUUUAGUGUUGAAGACAAGGUAUAUCACAGAAGUAGAUAAACAGCUUGAAGUUCUGAAUGAGACCCUAUCCAAGCACAAGGAAUUGGUCGAAACAGAACAGAAACUAAGAAUUGAACUCGACUCCAAGGUGACGCGGAUCCUAGACCUUGAAGGGCAGUUAGCUAGCCUAUCUAAAACCAUUGAGAUCUCUAAAAGCGAGAAUGAGAAACUCAAGACAGAAGUUGCAGAAAAGGAAACAAUUGUAACAGAUCUGAGCCUCAAACUGGACACUAGACAUGGCUCGAUCAAAGAAUUGGAGACACUUGUGGAACAGAAAGAAGCUAAGAUAGAGGAGCUAUGUGGGACUAUUGAUAUGUUUAAGUGCAAGAAUGAGGAACUCGAGACACAAUUGAUAGAAAGACAAAAAAAUGUUUCCAAUUUGAUUACUAAACUGGACACUGCACAUGGCUCAUUAAAAGAUUUGGAGAGAAGUGUGGCUAAGAGAGAAGCUGAGACAGAGAGGCUAGGUAAAACCAUCGAGAUCUCUAAGCUCGAGCAGGAGAAACUCAAGGCAGAAUUGGCGCAAAGAGAAAACCAUGUAUCAGAUCUGAGGCUUGAGUUGGAUAAUAGACAUGCCUCAAUCAAAGACUUAGAGAGAAGAGUAGAAGAGAGAGAAGCUGAGAUAAUCAGGCUCAGAAAUGAGCUUGGGGUGUGUUCUAGUAAGCUUCAAGAGAAAGAGGAACUACUUGGAACUAUAGAGGCGAACACUACAAUAUUACAGAGUGCCAAGGAGGAGCAGGAAACCAAAGCAAUUGAACUUGGAGAGGGGGCUAAGAGGCUACGAGAAGAGAAUGUUAGAUUACAAGACAGCACCAAGAAGCUCGAAGCAGAGAUCUUGGGGUUAUCUGAUGAACUUCAAUUCAUGAAAGAGGAGGUUGGGAAGUUAAGAGAGGAGCGUGAGUACUUAAGUCAGAAACUCCAAGGGGUGGAAGAGGACUUGAGUGAAAGUGUUCGAGAGAGAGAGGAAGCAGAAGCUUUGAUGGAUGGAGAGAGAAAGACUAUGGCACAAGAGUGUAAGCUGCUGAAUGAGAGGGAGUUGGAAUGCGAAGGAAACAUUGGGGAAUUGGAGAAGGAGGUUGCGAAGUUGAAAAUGGAGGUGGGGAAGUUACAGGAGGUGCGCAAGCAAUUGGAAUCGAUUCUUGAAGGCAUGGAAGAGCAACUGAGGGAGAGGGAUCGAGUGAAGGAGGAAGCUAAAGAUGCAUGGGAUAGAGAGAGAAAGUCUAUGGAGCAAGAGAGAGUGCUGUACAUCGAGGAGGUUGCAACAUAUGACGGGAUGAUUGUGGAAUGGGAGAAGAAAGUGGAGCAGGCCAAUGAUGAGGUUGGGAAGUUACAACAGGAGUGCAAGCAAUUGUACCUGAAGCUUCAAGAGAAAGAGGAACUAGUUGGAAUGAUAGAGGCGAACACUAGAAUAUUACAGAGUGCCAAGGAGGAGCAGGAAACCAAAGCAAUUGAACUUGGAGAGGAGGCUAAGAGGCUACGAGAAGAGAAUGUUAGAUUACAAGACAGCGCCAAGAAGCUGGAAGCAGAGAUCUUGGGGUUAUCUGAAGAAUUUCAACUCAUGAAAGAGGAGGUUGGGAAGUUAAGAGAGGAGCGUGAGCACUUAAGUCAGAAACUCCAAGGGGUGGAAGAGGACUUGAGGGAAAGUGUUCGAGAGAGAGAGAAAGCAGAAGCUUUGAUGGAUGGAGAGAGAAAAACUAUGGCACAAGAGUGUGAGCUGCUGAAGAAGAGGGAGUUGGAAUGCGAGGGAAACAUUGGGGAAUUAGAGGAGGAGGUUGUGGAGUUGAAAAUGGAGGUGGGGAAGUUACAGGAGGUGCGCAAGCAAUUGGAAUCGAUGCUUGAAGGCAUGGAACAGCAACUGAGGGAGAGGGAUCGAGUGAACGAGGAAGCUAAAGAUGCAUGGGAUAGAGACAGAAAGUCUAUGGAGCAAGAGAGAGUGCUGUACAUCGAGGAGGUUGCAACACAUGACGGGAUGAUUGUGGAAUGGGAAAAGAAGGUGGAGCAGGCCAAUGAUGAGGUUGGGAAGUUUCAACUGGAGUGCAAGCAAUUACACCAGAAGCUUCAAGAGAAAGAGGAACUACUUGGAAUGAUAGAGGUGAACACUAGAAUAUUACAGAGUGCCAAGAAAGAGCAGGAAACCAAAGCAAUUGAACUUGGAGAGGAGGCUAAGAGGCUACGAGAAGAGAAUGUUAGAUUACAAGACAGCACCAAGAAGCUCGAAGCAGAGAUCUUGGGGUUAUCUGAAGAACUUCAACUUAUGAAAGAGGAGGUUGGGAAGUUGAGAGAGGAGCGCGAGCACUCAAGUCAGAAACUCCAAGCGUUGGAAGAGGACUUGAGGGAAAGUGUGAGAGAGAGAGAGAAAGCAAAAGCUUUAAUGGAUGGAGAGAGAAAGACUAUGACACAAGAGUGUGAGCUGCUGAAGAAGAGGGUGUUGGAAUGCGAGGGAAACAUUGGGGAAUUGGAGAAGGAGGUUGCGGAGUUGAAAAUGGAGGUGGGGAAGUUACAGGAGGUGCACCAGCAAUUGGAAUCGAUGCUUGAAGGCAUGGAAGAGCAACUAAGGGAGAGGGAUCGAGUGAACGAGGAAGCUAAAGAUGCAUGGGGUAGAGAGAGAAAGUCUAUGGAGGAAGAGAGAGUGCUGUACAUCGAGGAGGUUGCAACACACGAUGGGAUGAUUGCGGACUUAGAGAAGAUUGUGGAGCAGGCCAAUGAUGAUGUUGGGAAGUUACAACAGGAGCGCAAGCAAUUGCACCAGAAGAUUCAAUGCCUGGAAGAAGAGAUGAGGGGUAAGGAUAGAGAGAGAGAGAAAGCAAACACUGCAAUUGCUAGAGAGAUAAAGGCGAGAGAGGCUAUGGAGAGAGAGCUCAAGGAGUUGGAGGAGAAGGUUGAGGGAUUGAAAGAGGUAGGGUUGGCGAAGGAUGACCAGAAACGAGAAGCGAUAAGGCAGCUCUGUCUCGCGAUUGAACACCACCGGGACAACUAUAACCAUAUGAGGGACCUGUUAUUGGCCCGAGUCACUAGGGUGUCCUGGGGGAGGGACCCGUUAUUGGCACGAAUCACUAGGGUGACCUCGGGGCCCGCCUCCUCUUGACUCGUCUUUGGUGUAUUCCUCUCUACUUCUCAGUCCCUAUCAUUGCACAAUUCAAUUUUUUCAUACUGAAUAAGCGGUGUGCAGGCACGCACUCAUAUGUGCGCCUACCAGCAGUGCACGUCUCUCUCUCUCACACAUUGCAACAUAGGAGCACAAUGAAGAAAUUCGGACCACCCUCCCCCUACUCUCUCCUUUCUAAAGAGCAAGAGUGAAUGGGAGAGAGUAACAAAAUC
Amborella trichopoda is the source of this 5371-nucleotide non-coding RNA. NCBI's taxonomy places the organism in Eukaryota, Viridiplantae, Streptophyta, Magnoliopsida, Amborellales, Amborellaceae. The record is from RefSeq and is a predicted model, not a curated record.